This 22-nucleotide microRNA is filed under the name Drosophila melanogaster (fruit fly). RNAcentral's name for it is "dme-miR-9371-3p". Lineage: Eukaryota; Metazoa; Arthropoda; Insecta; Diptera; Drosophilidae. The record is from miRBase by way of RNAcentral.
AAUUCAUCACGAAGUGGUUUCU